This is a non-coding RNA of Glycine soja, 88 nucleotides long. Lineage: Eukaryota; Viridiplantae; Streptophyta; Magnoliopsida; Fabales; Fabaceae. The record is from Rfam.
GUUCCAUAGACAUUUUGGCAUUCUGUCCACCUCCAUUGGUGAUGAUGGCCAUUUGGAGGUGGCCAGUAUGCCAAACGGGCUCUGUGUA